This 78-nucleotide transfer RNA is filed under the name Actinobacillus pleuropneumoniae serovar 3 str. JL03. RNAcentral's name for it is "tRNA-Gly". It matches the Rfam family "tRNA". Rfam says of the family: Transfer RNA (tRNA) molecules are approximately 80 nucleotides in length. Their secondary structure includes four short double-helical elements and three loops (D, anti-codon, and T loops). Lineage: Bacteria; Pseudomonadati; Pseudomonadota; Gammaproteobacteria; Pasteurellales; Pasteurellaceae. The record is from RNAcentral.
GCGGGCAUCGUAUAAUGGCUAUUACCUUAGCCUUCCAAGCUAAUGAUGCGGGUUCGAUUCCCGCUGCCCGCUCCAAGC